UACGAAGGUGGCGAAUGUUGCUCGGAUUCAUUGGGCGUAAAGAGCUCGUAGGCGGUUUGUCGCGUCUGCUGUGAAAACCCGAGGCUCAACCUCGGGCCUGCAGUGGGUACGGGCAGACUAGAGUGCGGUAGGGGAGAUUGGAAUUCCUGGUGUAGCGGUGGAAUGCGCAGAUAUCAGGAGGAACACCGAUGGCGAAGGCAGAUCUCUGGGCCGUAACUGACGCUGAGGAGCGAAAGCAUGGGGAGCGAACAGG
This 253-nucleotide ribosomal RNA is filed under the name uncultured bacterium. RNAcentral describes it as "partial 16S ribosomal RNA". It matches the Rfam family "Bacterial small subunit ribosomal RNA", at positions 524 to 776 of the family's 1533-position model. The record is from RNAcentral.